UCCCAAAGUCAUGGUUAAGUGGGAAACGAAGUGGGAAGGCUCAGACAGCCAGGAUGUUGGCUUAGAAGCAGCCAUCAUUUAAAGAAAGCGUAAUAGCUCACUGGUCGAGUCGGCCCGCGCGGAAGAUGUAACGGGGCUAAACCAUGCACCGAAGCUGCGGCAGCGACACAUAGUGUUGUUGGGUAGGGGAGCGUUCUGUAAGCCUGCGAAGGUGUACUGUGAGGUAUGCUGGAGGUAUCAGAAGUGCGAAUGCUGACAUAAGUAACGAUAAUGCGGGUGAAAAACCCGCACGCCGGAAGACCAAGGGUUCCUGUCCAACGUUAAUCGGGGCAGGGUGAGUCGACCCCUAAGGCGAGGCUGAAAAGCGUAGUCGAUGGGAAACGGGUUAAUAUUCCCGUACUGGUGGUAACUGCGAUGGGGGAACGGAGAAGGCUAGGUUGUCCGGGCGACGGUCGUCCCGGUUCAAGCAGGUAGGCAGAGUGAUUAGGCAAAUCCGGUCACUUAAUGCUGAGAUGUGAUGACGAACCACCAAGGUGGUGAAGCAAUUGAUGCCCCGCUUCCAGGAAAAGCCUCUAAGCUUCAGGUUACCAACAAUCGUACCCCAAACCGACACAGGUGGUCAGGUAGAGAAUACUCAGGCGCUUGAGAGAACUCGGGUGAAGGAACUAGG
Molecule: ribosomal RNA, 670 nt
Filed under: Escherichia coli
Lineage: Bacteria; Pseudomonadati; Pseudomonadota; Gammaproteobacteria; Enterobacterales; Enterobacteriaceae
Description: partial 23S ribosomal RNA
Rfam family: Bacterial large subunit ribosomal RNA
Source: RNAcentral